Molecule: long non-coding RNA, 1128 nt
Organism: Jatropha curcas
Lineage: Eukaryota; Viridiplantae; Streptophyta; Magnoliopsida; Malpighiales; Euphorbiaceae
Source: RefSeq, a predicted model, not a curated record
GAACAGUGAAUUCACGCUUAACCAGUUUUUUAUUUAUUAUUCCUAUUUUACCCUUUCAAUUUUCCCUCCAACUGACCACUAAAUGCCAUUAUUUCGUAUUUUUUUUCUCUAAUUCACUCUUCCUGUGCCUUCGAAUUCAUACAAAACCUUGUUCUUCCAAUGGCACUUCUCAUCCGAUCCCACAGAUCUUGGCCGUGAAAAUUCUCUUUAACCCUAACCCAAACCUUAAAAUUAUUAAGGGUCUCUCUGUGUUCAUAUAUGAUGAGAGGAUUGGAUUUAGGGCUAGGGCUGUAUCUGUUGAUAGGAUUGGUGUUAAAGGCUGUGAGAUUAGGGUUUCGUAAUUGAAUCAGAGCAUGAAUUUGUACUGCCAAUUAUUGGUUCCAGUGAAGCAAGAAACAAAACAGAGCCAAGAUGAAGAGGACUUUGAGAGAGGGGUUUCCCGAGCUUUUUCUCAAGGAGCUCAGUUUUGAUAUCUACAGGUCAAGUAAAUGAAGAACUGGAGCACCGGAUUGGGAUGAUUGGAACGUCAUUGAACAAGUUUGGAAUAAUCUUAGAUUCUAUUCAGCUUUGUCUCGCGAAUCUUGAUUGCAAUUGCAAUUUUCAUAAUCCUCAGGUCAUUAAGGUGGUUGGUAAUGCAAGAGUGCUCUUGGAAACAAAUCACAAUGAGAGAGGUAGAGGAGAGACUUGAAGAAAUUCAAAAAAGCUGCUGAAAAAUGUUAAUGCUAAAUCAAAGCUUCUGGCUGUUGGCAUUUCAAAAACUUGCUGUGGCUUUGUAAUUCAACUACAACCAAUAAAAUACAGGGUCGCAGCAAAGCAUGGCCUUAUUAUGGCUCCUAGAACCGGAACCGGUCCGAACCAGUACCUGAACUGGAGGUAUACGGUUCGGUUUCGGUUCUAAUAUUUUGGGAACCGCAAACAGGCGGUUCCAAAACCGAUCGGAACCAGAUGGAACUGCCGGUUCUAGCCAUUGCAAACUGUCAGCAGACCUUUUUUUUAUUAUUUUUUUGUGAAAUCUCUUAAUUACCCCUUCCAACAACUAUAAACGGCUAAAUAAUGGCUAGUUUCAAGAGUAUUUGUGGAAAAAUGAUUUUUUGAAUUUAUUAUAAAUACCUCCUUUCAUUUCAUUUA